This 497-nucleotide ribosomal RNA is filed under the name uncultured bacterium. RNAcentral's name for it is "partial 16S ribosomal RNA". It matches the Rfam family "Bacterial small subunit ribosomal RNA", at positions 28 to 507 of the family's 1533-position model. The record is from RNAcentral.
GAUGAACGCUGGCGGCGUGCCUAAUACAUGCAAGUCGAGCGAACGGACGAGAAGCUUGCUUUUCUGAUGUUAGCGGCGGACGGGUGAGUAACACGUGGAUAACCUACCCAUAAGACUGGGAUAACUUCGGGAAACCGGAGCUAAUACCGGAUAAUAUUUUGAACCGCAUGGUUCAAAAGUGAAAGACGGUCUUGCUGUCACUUAUAGAUGGAUCCGCGCUGCAUUAGCUAGUUGGUAAGGUAACGGCUUACCAAGGCAACGAUGCAUAGCCGACCUGAGAGGGUGAUCGGCCACACUGGAACUGAGACACGGUCCAGACUCCUACGGGAGGCAGCAGUAGGGAAUCUUCCGCAAUGGGCGAAAGCCUGACGGAGCAACGCCGCGUGAGUGGUGAAGGUCUUCGGAUCGUAAAACUCUGUUAUUAGGGAAGAACAUAUGUGUAAGUAACUGUGCACAUCUUGACGGUACCUAAUCAGAAAGCCACGGCUAACUACGUG